Molecule: long non-coding RNA, 663 nt
Organism: Zea mays
Lineage: Eukaryota; Viridiplantae; Streptophyta; Magnoliopsida; Poales; Poaceae
Exons: 2
Source: RefSeq, a predicted model, not a curated record
CGUUACAUGCUCUUAAGUUGUUAGGGAUUUCGAUUGGAUCUCAGCUGGCCACUCCACCCCGCCACGGCGGCCUCGAUCUUGUGCACGGCUCGUUGCCGGCGCUCGGACCCGGUUGCGGCGCCCGCUCGUGCCCACAUCUUCGUCGAUGUCUUGUUCCCGUGCUGCCAGCGUCCGAAGGAUUUUCGUCGAUGCCUCGUUGGAUCUGCGACGCGUUUGUCCUUCUUGAGGCACGUCUGUCGUCCGUCCGUCCGCCCUCAUCAUCGAUGGCGGCCUUUGGAGGUGACGUGGACCAACCACCCCAGGAGCCUCGUUGUAUCCCCAGGCGCCCCUCGCUCUGUACCCCACCGCUGGGCGCUGGCGGUGAAUCUAGCGGCCCGCGUGGCAUGGGGACGAGCUCCGCUCGAAACGGCAGCAGUGGCACAGCCAGCAUCGCCUCCCCGCUCGUUAGUAGUUACUAGUUAGCAACAAGCAUCUCAUGAUUAGCCAUGGUCAUAAUAGAACGUUCUACCAGUUUGUCUUGUUAUUUGCAUGUCUAUUGUUUACCAUGAUUAUAAUAAUAAUAUAUUUUUUUUAAAAAAAACUCUGUUUUUGUAUAUCAAAUAUUUGAGUCUAGUUUUCCAUGCAUAUAUUUAUCAUGAUUAAUGAGAAUGUGUGAGCAUAUAA